UUUUUUUCUUAGAUCCCGGUGGUUGAAGUACAGGACCCAGACAAAAAUAGGAUUAAUCAAUGGUUGAAUGUGAAACUCAAUCAGGGAAUUGCUGAGCUCUCCUUAGAUCUGACAUCUGAGCCCACACUGGGAGAAUACACCAUUAAACUGAAAGAUACAUCUCAUACCUUCAGUGUAGAGGAAUAUGUUCUUCAAAAAUUUGAGGUCAAUAUCAAGUUACCUAAAUAUGUUCUGUAUAACAGUGAAACGUUUCCAGCUGAAGUUUGUGCCAAGUACACAUAUGGAAAGCCAGUACAAGGGGAUUUUACAGCUUCUAUUUGCCGUGAAUCUUUAGCAUUUUAUUAUAUUA
Long non-coding RNA from Bufo bufo (common toad), 349 nucleotides. RefSeq lists it as uncharacterized. Lineage: Eukaryota; Metazoa; Chordata; Amphibia; Anura; Bufonidae. The record is from RefSeq and is a predicted model, not a curated record. The transcript has 4 exons.